CUCCUACUCCCUCCGUCCGGAAAUACUUGUCAUCAAAAUGAAUAAAAGGAAUAAAAGGAGAUGUAUGUAGAUGUAUUUUAGUUGAUACAUCUCUUUUUGUCCAUCUUGAUGACAAAUAUUUUCGGACGGAGGGAGUACAAG
Triticum aestivum (bread wheat) is the source of this 141-nucleotide non-coding RNA. Lineage: Eukaryota; Viridiplantae; Streptophyta; Magnoliopsida; Poales; Poaceae. The record is from Rfam.